GACGAACGCUGGCGGCGUGCUUAACACAUGCAAGUCGAACGGAAAGGCCCUGCUUUUGUGGGGUGCUCGAGUGGCGAACGGGUGAGUAACACGUGAGUAACCUGCCCUUGACUUUGGGAUAACUUCAGGAAACUGGGGCUAAUACCGGAUAGGAGCUCCUGCUGCAUGGUGGGGGUUGGAAAGUUUCGGCGGUUGGGGAUGGACUCGCGGCUUAUCAGCUUGUUGGGGGGGUAGUGGCUUACCAAGGCUUUGACGGGUAGGCGGCCUGAGAGGGUGACCGGCCACAUUGGGACUGAGAUACGGACCAGACUCCUACGGGAGGCAGCAGUGGGGAAUAUUGCACAAUGGGCGGAAGCCUGAUGCAGCAACGCCGCGUGCGGGAUGACGGCCUUCGGGUUGUAAACCGCUUUCGCCUGUGACGAAGCGUGAGUGACGGUAAUGGGUAAAGAAGCACCGGCUAACUACGUG
Molecule: ribosomal RNA, 468 nt
Filed under: uncultured bacterium
Lineage: Bacteria
Description: partial 16S ribosomal RNA
Rfam family: Bacterial small subunit ribosomal RNA
Source: RNAcentral